GCGAGAGUCAAAGACCUUCAUCCUCCUUGCUGCUCUUUGUCUUCUCCACCAGGCCUCCUCAGUGGGUCCUUCUGGUGGCCCCGGGCCAGCAAGAGCAGGGACAGAGAGAGGCUUCUGAGCCGACCUGGCCUCGGACGACCUUGGCAUCCCACCUGCAGAGUUCCUGUCAGAGCAGACGUGCUGUCUCGUGACUGGAGGACUAAACCACCCCUGUGUUCAGUCACCUUCCAGGCCUCCUGUCCCACGAAGUCUGCUUCUCACCAGGCUCCACAGGAAAUCUUGUCUUACAGCGCUGGAAAGAAGCUCCAGGAGUGUGCUGGAAAUGCUUCCCUCAGUUCUUCCGGUUAGCUGUGGGGGUAAACAUCUGCCCACGAGAAGACUGGAGAUCUGAAGCCUCCCAGGUUGCCUUAGGUGGGAGAUUAAUCUCCAGGAACAAGACCCCAGUAAAUAACAUGAGGUGGUGGGAUUCAGCUUUGCACCCAGCAUCAACACUCUUACAUCCCCAACAGCACAGAAGAUCACAUUUUCUUAAAAGUUAUACAACCACACACUUGAAGGAAGGAAGCUUGGAACGUGCCACCUGCAUGGCUGGUGUGUGCUGAGAUGGAAUUCUGACUGAAGCUGCAAAGCCUGGGGCCGGUCUGGCUUCUUGCUGGCCUGCCUGGCAUCAGGACUUCUGCUUGGCUGGAGGUGGUCACAGGCAGGGCAGGGAAGAUGGGCUCAGAAGCUUGGGAACCACGUGGUCACAUGUGCCCGCUGGAGGUUUGGAACAUUCCUCUGCAGUGAAGAAGACACUCGUGGCUCUCAGCAGUCUCUCUGCUCUCUCUCUAGGCCAGCAGUUAGAAGGUCUUAGUAUGGUGGGGACAUUGCUUUGAGUUCAUCACAGCACUCAUCCAAGUUCUCCCUGGUCCUCUGUGGGGGACACAUGCUGACGAGGCUACUCAGACUCCUGUUCCCAAAGCUGCCCAACCCGGCCCCCUCAUCAGUCCCCGGCGGACAGGCCUCUGCGGAUUUUACCAGCAGUGAGCACCUGCCCAUAGCUGGCCCAUUCCUCGUCUCUUUCCUGGGAACUCGGUACUGAAAUUCAGAUGCAGAGAGGUCAUGUCUGCUCGUGGUUGACGGAUCCCAAAGAAGGCUACACUCCCUUAUAUGUAAUUCAGAAAUUCAAAAAGCUCUGAAAACUCUAAGUGUUCUCUUCCAUUUGUGGCAAACACAUUUGGCAGCAAAACCAGCCUGGACUGAUGUGAGCUCUAGGUAGUGUCAGUAUCCCCCUUAAUGAGGUCACCUGGUGGACAGACCCACGUGACUGACUAUGGGGUGCUCUCCUGGAGCCCACUAGCAAUACAAAUAUUUGGUUGAUGCACUGUCAUUACCUUUUGAACACAUAAAAUGCUCUGAAGCUUGAACUGUAUGUGGCCCAAAAGGAUCUGGGUAAAGGAUGUGGAUUUACAUAAGAGGUGCCGUGGGCUACCCUACCAGCUUCCACACGGACAAGUUCUGAGAAAGCCAGUCUGCAGUGGGUGCACGGGGUUGUGACUACCAAAUGCAAGCUUCGGAGACCACAGAGCUAAGGUCCUGACAUCUUCAGCUUUGCAACAGCUUCCCUCCUUUUCAUUAAGCGGCCCCAGCUGGCUUGGCGGAGCUGUCGUCAGAGAGUCCUAACCAUCACGCCCCUCAUCCCCACGGAGGCUCAGACCUGGGGGGUUCUGCCGUGCCAGGCAGGAGGCGCUGGGAACGCACAGCCACGUCCAGACGCAGCCUUUGCCAAGCUCUCCGACACUUCAGUGGGCCCAUGGCCUGCUGGCCUGGGCAAGGAGGACUGAACUCUUGAAGGUUUCCACUUCAAUGAGAUUCCAUGAGAAAAGCAGAAAUGGGGUGGGUUUGGCAGUGGGCCAUCUCAAUGGGUUUCUGUCUAAAGGCUUUUCCAUUUAGAAAUAUUUUCUAAGGAGGAUCUUUGUCUUCUUUUGGAGGUGGGAUGGAUUUGUGGUCCUGAAUCCUCCCUUGGAAAAUCUACCUCUGCAAGAAUUCUUUCUUCUUUUUUUUUUUUUUUUUAAAAAAAGGAAGAGGAAAAAAAAGAACAAAAAUACAGCUUCCCUUCUUUUGAACUGUGCGUCACUCGCCAAAGAAUUCCGCAGCGAUAGCACUGCUAUGAAUAGGGCAGUCAUAAUGGGCUUCAGAAGAGCCCGGAGCCCAACCACAGGAAACGUUCCUAUCACGGCUCAGCUAGAACUGUGCCUCUUAUAAAUGGAGUUUUCAGAGGAACACUUAUAAUCCGUAUUCCCCUCCUGCCUUCUAAAUUGGCCAUCUAUUAUUUUGUUUUUACCCUUGAUGAAGUGCUCCUUUUAAAAAUGCUGGCUUCUGUUGGUAUUUGAGAGAAAUGAAACUGCAGAUGCAAGAAGUCAGGGCGAUUCUACCCCAGAGCAGGACGUGUCGAGCUACCUGUGCAAAGCCCCGAGCGUGGGGUCUCUCCUUCAAACGCGAGAUACUUACUGCCUGGUAGCUGUCCUCAUCAAACAGGGCUGCUCUUUUCAGAUCAAAGGCGGUGGCACUCUAGUGACAAUAACUUAGGACUUAGGCAGAGAGAAACAGAAAGGAAGUGGGUGAAAGGUCACAUUCCCAAUCCAAGUGGCCCCCCAGAGAGCCACACCGCAAGGCUUCCUGGGUGGAGGAUCUGGGCAGACUCAAGUCCCAACCACUGUGGUGAUAAGGCAACGAAACAGUCCAGCCAUCCAAAAGCGGUCAGAAGGAAAACAGAAGUUUAAUCUGGACUUGGAGAAAUCUGUGGAAACACAGACAUUUCAGUGGGAUUUCUGUGCUGAAUAAAUAAGACGGGAGCAUUGAAAACUGAAGCAGGCAACCAAGGAAAGAACAACUUGGGGCACAAAGUUGAGUUGAAAUUUGAAGAGCGUGAGUCUGUCCCAGACCUGACCUCUUCUUGCUCCUGCAAAGUGGGAGUGGGCAGUAAAGAGGUCUAAAAGUAUCUUUAUCUGGCAUGCCGGGGAAAGCUGAAGGUUCGGAUUCAAGGCUGCUUCUCAUGAGAACCAAAUGGCAGCUCUCUCGCUUCCAAUUAGGGGUCUGCGUGUGCCUGACACAGCGGGAAGCCUCCUGCCACCUCCUGCAUCCGACUCACAGCCAGGCGGAGGGAGGCAAAGGCCGGUGUGCAACUGCACGGCUCCAGCCGCACACGUUCCUUCUAGGAGGGCAGGUCUCCCCUCUCCCUCAACUGCAGGGAAAAUUCAGGGUGCAAAGGCCGUGUUUCUCUUGAAUUCUGCUGGCGAGCUGAUGGCGCAGCUACAUUACACGGUCCCCAAAGGUGGUGUUCUUUUUAAAAAAGGACAAUGAUGGGGCUCCCCAAUACUUUCAAAUGAGUCCUCAUCUGAGUGGGCUGGUGUUAUCUGCUACAAUUUAGAGCAUCACAUGUUGCUCUACGAGUCAGCUCAAAGAGGAUGGGUCAGGCUGUUAGACUAAAAGCUGCAGAUCUGAGGCUGCUAUUCCAGAGAUGCCCGGGCCCACCUUCACACAGCUACGCACACCUGAACUUGCGACAGCAGAAGGCCAAAUGCAGAUUUCAAAGGCUCUUCCCAUCACAGGGAAGAAACAUAAGACCUGGCAUCAGAACUUCAUUCUUCUGCAAAACACUUUUGAGGCUGUCUAAAAAUCAGGCCCAGUUUCCUGAGUUCUUCUUCAAGCUCCCUCACUCCACACCCAUGAAGUCAUGCGGUCUGUCUUCUUCAAGUGUUGGCAGCCAGGCAAUAGCUGCUUAUUUUCUGUGAGUCAACUGCUCUGGAAGUGAGGUCAGCUCCCGCCCUGGCCUCUUGUCAGCUGCAGGUGCUUAGAGGUGUCCUGUAACCUUAUUCCCUCUCAUCUUCUGCACAGCUUGUUUUGCGUAUUAAAUGAGACGAUGUAUGUAGAGCUAACUUGUGUCUUGUACAUGACAUACCGAUAAACGGGUUCAUAUGUCAUCAUUAUAGCACAAAGUCUUGUUUCCUAAAGAAGAACAGUUUUAGGUAAAAAAAAAAAAAAAAAAAAAAAAAACCCAACAACCCUGAAGCGGGUCCUGGGGUGUCCUCAUCUAUUAAGGACAUUAAUUAAGCAGACAUUACAAAUGUAUACAUGACACACCACCUAGAACUUCAUCAGCUACUGGAAAUGCUUGCAGUGGCCCGAUGGGGCAGAGCCUCUUGAUUCAGGAGAAAGCUCUUGGAAAGAAAAUGGGACCUGUGCUUAUUAUCAUCUUUCCUAAGUUGCAAACUAUUCUCAAAAUGUUCCCCAACAUCCUAGCCAAGGAUUAAGAGCCAAUUCAAAAUAAACCAAGAGAAGCAAUACAGGGAUCAUCCACAUUGGAAAGCCAGAGAGCAGCCGCACCAGCACACUGGGAUGCCCCUGUAAAGCUCCUUGGUCUCCUCAGCUCGUCCUGGGUCCCUCCACACAUGGCGCCAGGGGCAGGAUGCCAGCACAGCCUCCUCGCUACAAAUGGGGUUGCAGGAUGCACCUGGCCUGCUGCCUGCUUCAACAGCUGCAGUUGGAACAUCUCAGAGAGCUGGGUCAUUCAAGGUCAACCCCACAACUUACAAAGUUGGGCCGCAGCUGAGCUGGGCAGAGGACUGGAGUGUCUUGCUGGGUUGGUUUGGGAAAGGGAUGCCCCCCGGCUUCCCUAGGUGGUUUUUAUAUUCUUAGGGGAGGACAGGAGGCUGCCAUGCAAGGACAUGCCAUAUGCCUUUACCGUCAACCA
This 4732-nucleotide long non-coding RNA is filed under the name Homo sapiens (human). RNAcentral's name for it is "HSALNT0225831". Lineage: Eukaryota; Metazoa; Chordata; Mammalia; Primates; Hominidae. The record is from RNAcentral.